AGGGAAUAUUAGAAAUGGACGAAAGUCUGAUCUAGCAACACCGCGUGUGCGAAGAAGGCCUUCGGGUUGUAAAGCACUUUUUGGAAGGAUCAGGAAGGAAUGUACUUCCAGAAUAAGUCUCGGCUAACUACGUGCCAGCAGCCGCGGUAACACGUAGGAGGCAAACGUUAUCCGGAUUUACUGGGCGUAAAGCGCGUGUAGGUGGUUCUGUAAGUAGGGCGUGAAAGCUCCUGGCUCAACUGGGAGAGGCCGUUCUAAACUGCAGAGGUAGAGGAUGGGAGAGGGAGGGGGAAUUCCGGGUGUAGCGGUGG
This 311-nucleotide ribosomal RNA is filed under the name uncultured bacterium. RNAcentral describes it as "bacterial SSU rRNA". It matches the Rfam family "Bacterial small subunit ribosomal RNA", at positions 356 to 684 of the family's 1533-position model. The record is from RNAcentral.